RNAcentral lists this ribosomal RNA (553 nucleotides) under Enterobacter cancerogenus. RNAcentral describes it as "bacterial SSU rRNA". It matches the Rfam family "Bacterial small subunit ribosomal RNA", at positions 373 to 918 of the family's 1533-position model. Lineage: Bacteria; Pseudomonadati; Pseudomonadota; Gammaproteobacteria; Enterobacterales; Enterobacteriaceae. The record is from RNAcentral.
GGGCGCAAGCCUGAGGCAGCCCUGCCGCGUGUAUGACGAAGGCCUUCGGGUUGUGAAGUACUUUCAGAAGGGUGCUCCGUGAUCAGGGGGAUAACCCUGUCGAUUGAGAAAAGAAGCAGAAGAAGCACCGGAUAACGACGUGCCAGCAGCCGCGGGAAUACCGAGGGUGCAAGCGUUAAUCGGAAUUACUGGGCGUAAAGCGCACGCAGGCGGGCUGUCAAGUCGGAUGUGAAAUCCCCGGGCUCAACCUGGGAACUGCAUUCGAAACUGGCAGGCUAGAGUCUUGUACAGGGGGGUAGAAUUCCAGGUGUAGCGGGGAAAUGCGUACAGAUCUGGAGGAAUACCGGUGGCGAAGGCGGCCCCCUGGACAAAGACUGACGCUCAUGUGCGAAAGCUUGGGGAGCAAACAAGAUUAAAUUCCCUGGUAAUCCACCCCGUAAACGAUGUCCACUUGGAGGUUGUGCCCUUGAGGCAUGGCUUCCGGAGCUAACGCGUUAAGUCGACCGCCUGGGGAGUACGGCCGCAAGGUUUAAACUCAAAUGAAUUGACGGGG